CGCACAUUGCGCCCAUUAGUAUUCUAGUGGGCAUGCCUGUUCGAGCGUCAUUUCAACCCUUAAGCCCUGCUUAGUGUUGGGAGCCUACUCCGCCGGACCUACCCUAUAGCUACCCUGUAGCGCGGGCGAGGUUACCCUGUAGCUCCCCAAAUUCAUCGGCGAAGACGUGAUGUCCUCUGAGCGUAGUAAACUAUUCUCGCUUCUGUAGGGCUCGCGGAUUCUGCCGUCAAAACUAUAAUUCUAAUGGUUGACCUCGGAUCAGGUAGGAAUACCCGCUGAACUUAA
Molecule: unclassified non-coding RNA, 285 nt
Filed under: Kiliophora ubiensis
Lineage: Eukaryota; Fungi; Ascomycota
Description: partial contains 5.8S ribosomal RNA, internal transcribed spacer 2, and large subunit ribosomal RNA
Source: RNAcentral